GAGGGAUUUGAGGAGGGGAUCGGAAUGUGGCUCCAGUUCGGGAGGCGUUACCUGCGGAGGGUUUGAGGAAGGCCCAGGAGCGAGCCCAUGGUCUUCCGACGCGGGGCCAGGGGCGGGCCCCAGGAUCCGGAGCUUCGGGGGGGCCGAGUCCGGGUUUGGGGCCCGGGAGGCGGGGCCAGUUAGGUCGAGGGUCCCUGGGAUCGUCGGGUCAGGCCUUGGGCUAACGUAGGCACUCUCGCAGUUCCUCCGCCUUCAGGAAGGUCUUUUUAGCAGGGGCCUUACGGGUGCAUGCUUCGGUCCUGGAGGACUUAGGCUAGCCUCCUCUCCAUCAGCGCCACCCGUCUGGGGCCCGAAAGGAGGGAGCUUUCCCUCUGUCCCCCAGCCUUUGGACUGUCACCAAACAAGCCAUUCGUUCACCAAAUACUUUUUAAGCGCCUACCAUGUGCCUGACAAGGGAUAUGUAACGGUGAGAAAAACUAGGUGUGGUCCAGGCCCUUCAGGGACUCAGGGGCUCGUGGAAGAAGUGGAUAUUGAAGUACUUAUCACACAAAGGAGGAUAAAAGUACGAUAGCGAUAUCUACCACGAAGCUGUUGUUCCACACCAGAACCAAAUGAGCGCAAGAUCUGACAAAAAAAAAAGGUUCAUCUUUUAUUCUUCCAAACACUUUCAUUUAAAUCAAGAGGAUGGGAUGUGGUUAUUACUGUGUUUUUAGACAAAAUCAAUGGUUUCUGGCUCUGAGAUGUUGCAUACACCCUCUCAGUCCCUGUAUCCUGAGAUGGAGUCACCUGAGAAUCCACAGCAAGUCCUAACCAGGGAUGGGUCUGGGUGAUUAAGGAAGAUUGGCUUCAGAACUGGGCCAGGGGCACUGCUUUGCUUUUGCUGUUUUGAUCAGCUCUCUGCCUGCAGGAGACGAGGAAAACCAAUGGGAACAGAGAGUCUCCCUCUGUUGCCAGGCUGGAGUGCAGCGGCACGACCUCGGCUCACGGCAACCUCUGCCUCCCGGGCUCCAGCGAUUCUCCU
This 1021-nucleotide long non-coding RNA is filed under the name Homo sapiens (human). RNAcentral's name for it is "HSALNT0318186". Lineage: Eukaryota; Metazoa; Chordata; Mammalia; Primates; Hominidae. The record is from RNAcentral.